AUUGAACGCUGGCGGCAUGCUUUACACAUGCAAGUCGAACGGCGGCGCGGGCUUCGGCCUGGCGGCGAGUGGCGAACGGGUGAGUAAUGCAUCGGAACGUGCCCAGUAGUGGGGGAUAGUCCGGCGAAAGCCGGAUUAAUACCGCAUACGACCUGAGGGUGAAAGCGGGGGACCGAAAGGCCUCGCGCUAUUGGAGCGGCCGAUGUCGGAUUAGCUAGUUGGUGGGGUAAAGGCUUACCAAGGCGACGAUCCGUAGCUGGUCUGAGAGGACGACCAGCCACACGGGGACUGAGACACGGCCCAGGCUCCUGCGGGAGGCAGCAGUGGGGAAUUUUGGACAAUGGGGGCAACCCUGGUCCAGCCAUGCCGCGUGCGAGAAGAAGGCCUUCGGGUUGUAAACCGCUUUUGUUCGGGAAGAAAUCCUCUGAGCUAAUACCCCGGGGAGGUGACGGUACCGGAAGAAUAAGCACCGGCUAACUACGUG
Molecule: ribosomal RNA, 484 nt
Filed under: uncultured bacterium
Lineage: Bacteria
Description: partial 16S ribosomal RNA
Rfam family: Bacterial small subunit ribosomal RNA
Source: RNAcentral